Molecule: RNA transcript, 508 nt
Organism: Ailuropoda melanoleuca (giant panda)
Lineage: Eukaryota; Metazoa; Chordata; Mammalia; Carnivora; Ursidae
Gene name: keratin-associated protein 13-1
Exons: 1
Source: RefSeq, a predicted model, not a curated record
ACAUCUCCUGCCAACAUGUCCUACAGCUGCUGCUCUGGAAACUUCUCCUCCCGCUCCCUUGGGGGGCUCCUUGCGCUACCCGGGCUCCUCCUGCGGCUCUUACCCCAGCAACCUGGUCUACCGCACCUGCCAGCUGGGCUCCUCCCUCUCCAGUGGCUGUCAGGAGACCUGCUGUGAGCCCACCAGCUGCCAGACAUCCUGUGUGGUGUCCAGCCCCAGCCAGACGUCCUGCUACCGCCCAAGGACCUCCACGCUCUGCAGUCCCUGCCAGACAACUUGCUCUGGGUCUGUGGGCAUUGGGUCCAGCAGCUGCCGUUCCCUGGGCUAUGGAUCCAGAAGCUGCUACUCCCUGGGCUGUGGAUCCCAGGGCUUCAGACCCCUGGGUUUUAGAGUCCAUGGUUACCCUUCUCUGAGCUAUGGAUCCAGUUUCUAUCUCCCAAUCUAUUUUCCUUUCAGGAGUUUCCAUUCAUCUUGUUACUGGCCACACUACAGAUCUGGCUCCUACUGA